Molecule: ribosomal RNA, 468 nt
Filed under: uncultured bacterium
Lineage: Bacteria
Description: partial 16S ribosomal RNA
Rfam family: Bacterial small subunit ribosomal RNA
Source: RNAcentral
GACGAACGCUGGCGGCGUGCUUAACACAUGCAAGUCGAACGGAAAGGCCCUGCUUUUGUGGGGUGCUCGAGUGGCGAACGGGUGAGUAACACGUGAGUAACCUGCCCUUGACUUUGGGAUAACUUCAGGAAACUGGGGCUAAUACCGGAUAGGAGCUCCUGCUGCAUGGUGGGGGUUGGAAAGUUUCGGCGGUUGGGGAUGGACUCGCGGCGUAUCAGCUUGUUGGUGGGGUAGUGGCUUACCAAGGCUUGGACGGGUAGCCGGCCUGAGAGGGUGACCGGCCACAUUGGGACUGAGAUGCGGCACAGACUCCUACGGGAGGCAGCAGUGGGGAAUAGUGCACAAUGGGCGGAAGCCUGAUGCAGCAACGCCGCGUGCGGGAUGACGGCCUUCGGGUUGUAAUCCGCUUUCGCCUGUGACGAAGCGUGAGUGACGGUAAUGGGUAAAGAAGCACCGGCUAACUACGUG